This 346-nucleotide unclassified non-coding RNA is filed under the name fungal sp. RNAcentral describes it as "partial internal transcribed spacer region". The stretch from base 1 to 46 matches the Rfam family "Eukaryotic small subunit ribosomal RNA", at positions 1786 to 1831 of the family's 1831-position model. Lineage: Eukaryota; Fungi. The record is from RNAcentral.
AAGUCGUAACAAGGUUUCCGUAGGUGAACCUGCGGAAGGAUCAUCAAUAAUAGACCGAAUUAUGAAAUUGGUCUGAUCUUUUAAAACCCAUUAUAUUUAUUACUUUGACCGGGUUUUAUAGAUUGAGAAGGGGGGGGGGAGAUCCGUGUGAGGAUUCCUCUUUUUUUCUUUUUUUAUAAAAUUAAUGGUCUAUAAAAACCUUUUUAUAAAGCUCACUCUUUAUUUUUUUUUAUUAAGGCUUUAUUAUAAGCCAUUGAACAGGAUUAAUAGACCAGUUUUAGGUGUAAUGCCUCUGGUGUAAAAAAAAAAUUAUUAAAACUUUCGGCAAUGGAUCUCUCGGCUCUCC